Molecule: ribosomal RNA, 497 nt
Filed under: uncultured bacterium
Lineage: Bacteria
Description: partial 16S ribosomal RNA
Rfam family: Bacterial small subunit ribosomal RNA
Source: RNAcentral
GACGAACGCUGGCGGCGUGCCUAAUACAUGCAAGUUGAGCGAUGAAGAUUGGUGCUUGCACCAAUUUGAAGAGCAGCGAACGGGUGAGUAACGCGUGGGGAAUCUGCCUUUGAGCGGGGGACAACAUUUGGAAACGAAUGCUAAUACCGCAUAACAACUUUAAACAUAAGUUUUAAGUUUGAAAGAUGCAAUUGCAUCACUCAAAGAUGAUCCCGCGUUGUAUUAGCUAGUUGGUGAGGUAAAGGCUCACCAAGGCGAUGAUACAUAGCCGACCUGAGAGGGUGAUCGGCCACAGUGGGACUGAGACACGGCCCAAACUCCUACGGGAGGCAGCAGUAGGGAAUCUUCGGCAAUGGACGAAAGACUGAACGAGCAACGCCGCGUGAGUGAAGAAGGUUUUCGGAUCGUAAAACUCUGUUGGUAGAGAAGAACGUUGGUGAGAGUGGAAAGCUCAUCAAGUGACGGUAACUACCCAGAAAGGGACGGCUAACUACGUG